This 394-nucleotide ribosomal RNA is filed under the name uncultured bacterium. Its description in RNAcentral is "partial 16S ribosomal RNA". It matches the Rfam family "Bacterial small subunit ribosomal RNA", at positions 338 to 729 of the family's 1533-position model. The record is from RNAcentral.
CCUACGGGAGGCAGCAGUGAGGAAUAUUGGUCAAUGGGCGCAAGCCUGAACCAGCCAAGUCGCGUGAAGGAUGACGGCCCUAUGGGUUGUAAACCUCUUUUAUAAGGGAAUAAAGUGCGGCACGUGUGCCUUUUUGCGUGUACUUUAUGAAUAAGCAUCGGCUAACUCCGUGCCAGCAGCCGCGGUAAUACGGAGGAUGCGAGCGUUAUCCGGAUUUAUUGGGUUUAAAGGGAGCGUAGAGGGGUGGUUAAGUCAGUGGUGAAAAUUUGGGGCUCAACCCCAGCAGUGCGGUUGAUACUGGCAGUCUUGAGUAGGCGAGAGGUAGGCGGAAUGCGUGGUGUAGCGGUGAAAUGCUUAGAUAUCACGAAGAACUCCGAUUGCGAAGGCAGCUUAC